Molecule: unclassified non-coding RNA, 578 nt
Filed under: Zea mays
Lineage: Eukaryota; Viridiplantae; Streptophyta; Magnoliopsida; Poales; Poaceae
Description: misc RNA Zm00001eb004700
Source: RNAcentral
CAUCCCUUCCACAGUUCCACGGCUACGCCGCCGUCGUCGGCUCAUCCCUCCUCCCCCUCCCGCCCGCAGUUCCAGGUGGUGCACCCCUCGACCCCAUCAGACUCGAUCUGUCGUUUCCUGGCUCCCUUAGGUCCCCUCUUCGCCACCACUCCGCCGCAUGCUCCCCAAAUCCGCCGCUCUAUGGGUGCAUCAGGUCUCGCUGCCAGUUCCAAUGGAGGGAAUAAAUGGGCAAAGGCGGCCAACGAGGAAGCUACGAUGACGGUGGUGGCUGUGGAGUCAGAUGAGCCUAGGACAGAAUCGCCGUUGGAGCGGGGAACAAUCAUCUACAACCUCCUCGUCACGCUCCCCUUUCCCUCCGGCCUGAUCUCGCGCCUCCGCCGUGCAUUCCUCCUCUGCCGCUUCACCACCGACCUGGUCUCUAGAUCCUCCCUCCACAUGCUCCAACUCCUGGUACAAGAGUGCCUGAGGUCCGCUAUCGACCUGAGCUCCGCUCAGGUCGCCGCUACCACUGAUAAUCGGCCUCCAGCCCACUGCUUUACUUUUGGCGACGAGUCGACGACUGGGCAACUACCGCUGCC